RNAcentral lists this long non-coding RNA (4072 nucleotides) under Sus scrofa (pig). Its description in RNAcentral is "lncRNA (ENSSSCG00015038191.1)". The record is from RNAcentral. Lineage: Eukaryota; Metazoa; Chordata; Mammalia; Artiodactyla; Suidae.
UUUUUUUUUUUUUUUUGUCUUUUUGCCAUUUCUUGGGCCGCUCCCAUGGCAUAUGGAGAUUCCCAGGCUAGGGGUCUAAUCGGAGCCGUAGCCACCAGCCUACACCAGAGCCACAGCAACGCAUGAUCCGAGCCGCGUCUGCAACCUGCACCACAGCUCACGGCAAGGCCAGAUCAUUAACCCACUGAGCAAGGGCAGGGACCGAACCGGCAACCUCAUGGUUCCUAGUCGGAUUCGUUAACCACUGCACCACAACAGGAACUCCAGGAACUGAAUUUUAAUUAAGUUUAAAUUUGAAUAUCCAUGUGGCUAGUGGCCACCAUAUUGGACAGAACAGAUACAAAACAUUUCCAUCACUUCCGCAGGAGGUUCUGUAGACAGCAUUGCUAUAGAAGACAUCUAGCCAAUUCCAGAAGCCUCAUCUCAUAGCUAUAGGCCAUCUUAAAUUUAUUGUUGGGCUGCCCUUCAAAACGAAAAUCCAUAUAAACGUUUUUUCUUUUCUUUUUUCUUUUUGUCUUUUCCAGGGCUGCUCCCUCAGCAUAUGGAGGUUCCCAGGCUAGGGGUCUAAUCGGAGCUGUACCCGCCAGCCUAUGCCACAGCCACAGCAACACCGCUUCCAAGCCGCAUCUUCGACCUACACCACAGCUCACGGCAAUGCUGGAUCCCCAACCCACUAGGCAAGGCCAGGGAUCGAACAUGCAACCUCAUGGUUCCUAGUCAGAUUCGUUAACCACUGAGCCACAAUGGGAACUCCUCUUUUUCUUUUUUCUUUUUUAGAAAUUCAGAGCACAUCUUUCCAUAGAUGAGCCAAGGAAAAGCCUUAGCGGGAGUUCCUGUUGUGGCUUAGUGGGUUAAGAACUUGACAUAGUAUCUUUGAAGAUGUGGGUUUGAUCCAUGGCCUCACUCAGGGGCUAAGGAUCCUGCAAGGCCACAAGCUGUGGUGUAGGUCACAGAUGCGGUUCACAUCUGGUGUUGCCAUGGCUGUGGUAUAGGCUGGCAGCUGCAGCUCUGAUUCAACCCCUAGCCUGGGAAUUCCAUAUGCUGCAGGUGCAGCUGUAAAAAGAAAAGAAAAAAGAAAAGCGCUAGCAAUCCAUCAUCAUUGAGCCAAGAUGUAACAUAAAUGAUGGGCCAGAUACUGAACUCUAAAAGUAGCUCAUAAUCUAUGAUAUAACUAAUAAACAUCGUGACGACAGGAAGCACUGGAAGCAGGGGAUCAGAAACCAGUCCUGGUGAGGUCAGCGAAGGAAUUCUGGAGAAUGAAAAAGCUAAGAGGUGGCCAGACCAAGAAGGGUGAGAUAGAACACAGGCAGAGAAAGAAAGAUGUUACCGGCAGAGGGAGAAGUAUGCCCAGAAGAAAGGUUAAGAGCUUUUGAGUAAAGUGAUGCCAUGUGAUGGAAUUUGUGGGAGCCUAUGGGAGAAGGCAGAAAAGAAGGCAGUGGCCAAGCCAAGUCCUACUGGGCCUAAUAUGUCAUCAUAACAGCUUGUUCGUGUGUAGUGUCAGGAUUGGUUGGAACACAAAUAAUAAAGGCCCAGUAAUAAUGCCUAAGAUUCCAAUCACCAAUUAAGAUGAUCAGAAUGGGUUUCCCACACAUGUCCAAGCAAUUCUCAGACAUACCAGCGGGCUGCCCUACAAUUCCACUCUAUUCUGACACUAUCUACCUGGAGGUAGCAUCAGAUCCCACUGCCUAAGGGCUCAGUCCCACAAGACGGCCCACUACUUCCAAUGCCAAUCACGAGUCUAGUUUGUUACCUGUGCUUUUGACCAACUGGCUUAAAUCAGAGGUUCCCAAGACCUUAGGCUUGGAAGUGAUUAAUUAGUUACAAUCAAAUGUUAGGAAAAUUAAAAAAAAAACUCAGAAAAAUGGGCAAAAUUUAACAGAAACUUCAUAAAAUUAUUAUUAUUAUUACUAUUAUUAUUUUGGUCUUUUGUCUUUUUAGGGCCUCAUCUGUGGCAUAUGGAGGUUCACAGGCGAGGGGUCUAAUCAGAGCUGUAGCCGCCAGCCUAUGCCACAGACACAGCAAGGCCGGAUCCGAGCCGCUUCUGUGACCUAAACCACAGCUCACGGCAAUGCCGGGUCCUUAACCCACUGAGCAAGGCCAGGGAUCGAACCUGCAACCUCAUGGUUCCUAGUCGGAUUCCUUAACCACUGAGCCACGACGGGAACUCCCACAUUUUUUUUAUAAAGUUAUUUCUAAAUAACCUAUAGAUAUAUGAAAAGGUAUUCAACUUCAUUAAUCAGGGAGGUGCAAAUUAAAAUCACAGGAGAUACAAUUAUCACCUAUCAAAAUGGCCAAAAAAAGAUGGGAAAUAACCAAUGUUGAGAAUGUGGAAUGACCAACUCUCAUAUGUUGCUGAUCAGGGUGUAAAUUGGCACAAACACUUUGGAAAAUUGCUUUAAAAUAUCUACUACAUUUGAACAUGGCACAAUUACAAUCCAACAAUUCCACUUCUGUGUAUAUACCCAAUAUGAUGUGUGUACUUCUCUGUAGGUAUGAAUAUUUCAACAAACAGCACACUCUGCCAGAAAGUGGCAAUAAGGAGCCACGGAAGGAUUUGACAUUUCAGAGACUUGAGAAGGAUUUGAGAGACAUGAUCAGAUUUACAUUAGGGAGAUUAAUCCUUGGCUUUUAGAGGAUGGCAAGGAGAGGAGUUAAGGGGCUUUUUGUAGAAGUAAUCCAGCAAUUACAAAGUCCCAAAUUAAAGUAAGGGAGAGAAGUUCCUGUUGCGGUGCACUGGAAACGAAUCCGACUAGGAACCAUGAGGUUGCAGAUUCCAUCCCUGACCUCCUUCAGUGGUUUAAGGAUGCAGUGUUGCCUGAGCUGUGGUGUAGGUCACAGACACGGCUUGGAUACCACAUUGCUGUGGCUGUGGUGUAGGCAGGCAGCGACAGCUCCAAUUGGACCCCUAGCCUGGGAACCUCAUAUACUAUGAGUGCGGCCCUAAAAAGCAAAAAAAAAAAUAAAUAAAUAAAAAAGUAAGACGGAUGAAAGGGACAGACUAGAGUUCAUAUUUGGGGAGCAAACUCAGAACGUGGGUAGGUCACAAAAUUCCCCUGUGCUGCUGCUGCUUUUUUUUUUUUUUUAAACUUUUUAGGGCCACACCCACAGCUUAGGGAGGUUCCCAGGCUAGGGGUGGAAUGUGAGCUGCAGCUCCUGGCCUACACCACAGCCACAGCAGUGCCAGAUCUGAGCUAAGUCUGUGACUUACGCCACAGCUUUCAGCAAUGCUAGAUCCCCCACCACUGAGGGAGGCGAGGGAUGGAACCCACAUCCUCAUAGAUACUAACUGGAUUCCUUGCCGCUGCUCCACGACGGGAACUCCCUAAAUUCCCCUGAGCUUCUGAUUUCUUCACAUGAAAAAAAUAUUAACAGUACCUAUUUCAUUGAUGAUUAUUUUGAUGAUUUAAGAGUUAAGCACAGGGGGCUUAGCGAUUUUUUUUUUUUUUUAAAGCGCCAUUUUCAGAGUUCCCAUUCUGGCUCAAAGGGUUAAAAACCAGACUAGUAUCUGUGAGAAAGCUGGUUCAAUCCCUGGCCUAGCUCAGUGGGUUAAGGAUCCUGUGUUUCCCCAAGCUGCAACGUGGGUCGCAAGUGUGGCUUGUUUCUGGUGUGGCUGUGACCGUGUCUGGCUGGCAGCUGCCGCUGGGAUUUGACCACUAGCUUGGGAACCAACAUAUGCCAUAGGAGCGGCCCUAAAAAUAAAAUAAAAUAAAAAUUUAAAAAGUAAAAAAUAAAAAAAUAAAAGAAAUUUCCAUUCAAUUCUCCUUGCAUACUAUUAGAAAUUGAGAUUAGAAAGCUUUUAGAGAAGUACCUUAAUUUGUCAAGGUCCACGGAAGCAUGCAUCCUCCCAAGCAGAGGCAAAAUCAGCUCCCUGCGUAGGACUGGGUAAGUUUGGGGUCACAGGUUAGAAGGCCCUGGUUAAGGAUGAGACAGAAGAUGUCAGAAUCAGGCCCUGAAACAGUCCUAAAAUGCCACGGAUGAAGUGUUGGGAUUCUACUCAGGCUGCUGGACCACCUGCACUAGAAACUGGAGGCAAGCAUAGGCGUUUUCUCUCUGGCUCCCCACCUUCCCAGCU